AUUGAACGCUGGCGGCAGGCCUAACACAUGCAAGUCGAACGGUAACAGAAAGCAGCUUGCUGCUUUGCUGACGAGUGGCGGACGGGUGAGUAAUGUCUGGGAAACUGCCUGAUGGAGGGGGAUAACUACUGGAAACUGUAGCUAAUACCGCAUAGCGUCGCAAGACCAAAGAGGGGGACCUUCGGGCCUCUUGCCAUCGGAUGUGCCCAGAUGGGAUUAGCUAGUAGGUGGGGUAACGGCUCACCUAGGCGACGAUCCCUAGCUGGUCUGAGAGGAUGACCAGCCACACUGGAACUGAGACACGGUCCAGACUCCUACGGGAGGCAGCAGUGGGGAAUAUUGCACAACGGGCGCAAGCCUGAUGCAGCCAUGCCGCGUGUAUGAAGAAGGCCUUCGGGUUGUAAAGUACUUUCAGCGGGGAGGAAGGGAGUAAAGUUAAUACCUUUACUCAUUGACGUUACCCGCAGAAGAAGCACCGGCUAACUCCGUGCCAGCCGCCGCCGUAA
RNAcentral lists this ribosomal RNA (506 nucleotides) under uncultured bacterium. RNAcentral describes it as "partial 16S ribosomal RNA". It matches the Rfam family "Bacterial small subunit ribosomal RNA", at positions 30 to 523 of the family's 1533-position model. The record is from RNAcentral.